This 131-nucleotide small nucleolar RNA is filed under the name Meriones unguiculatus (Mongolian gerbil). RNAcentral's name for it is "Small nucleolar RNA SNORA3/SNORA45 family (ENSMUGG00000020180.1)". It matches the Rfam family "Small nucleolar RNA SNORA3/SNORA45 family". From Rfam's summary of the family: The members of this family belong to the H/ACA class of snoRNAs which are thought to guide the sites of modification of uridines to pseudouridines. This family includes mouse snoMBI-28 and human homologues ACA3 (SNORA3) and ACA3-2 (SNORA45). The record is from RNAcentral. Lineage: Eukaryota; Metazoa; Chordata; Mammalia; Rodentia; Muridae.
GCCGAGACUAGAGUCACAUCCUGACAUGGUACUUGUCCUGGUGUGCUAGAGUUCUCGAAGAGAAUCAGCUGGUCUUGAUUCACUGGUAGGGGCCUUUGGUGUCCCUGUUAGUGCCCAGAUCAGAAACAUGU